Molecule: ribosomal RNA, 301 nt
Filed under: uncultured bacterium
Lineage: Bacteria
Description: partial 16S ribosomal RNA
Rfam family: Bacterial small subunit ribosomal RNA
Source: RNAcentral
CAGCAGCCACGGUAAUACGGAGGGUGCAAGCGUUAUCCGGAUUCACUGGGUUUAAAGGGUGCGUAGGCGGGCAGGUAAGUCAGUGGUGAAAUCUUCGAGCUUAACUCGGAAACUGCCGUUGAUACUAUCUGUCUUGAAUAACGUUGAGGUGAGCGGAAUAUGUCAUGUAGCGGUGAAAUGCUUAGAUAUGACAUAGAACACCGAUUGCGAAGGCAGCUCACUAAACGCUCAUUGACGCUGAGGCACGAAAGCGUGGGGAUCAAACAGGAUUAGAUACCCCCGUAGUCCCUGUCUCUUAUAC